Non-coding RNA from Myodes glareolus (Bank vole), 690 nucleotides. The record is from RefSeq and is a predicted model, not a curated record. Lineage: Eukaryota; Metazoa; Chordata; Mammalia; Rodentia; Cricetidae.
ACAAAAAAACCAAACAAAGCCUGAAAGACAAACAGGAUUUUGUAGUUUGUACAGCCACGAGUCUCAAGGAUUCAUAAAAGUUGUUUACUUAACGCUCUAGCUAAAAUAAUGAAAACACGUAACUGAAAGCCUAGGUCACCAUUUUCUUCACUGUUUUCUUUUUCAGGACUGUACCCACUACAGUAGUUACUAGAGUUUUGGACUGAAGCAUUCCCUGAUUCCAGGCUUUCGGAUCAGCUUCUAGCCCCAGAUGCCACUCCUAUGCUCUGCCAUCAUGGGCUCUCUCCCACUGGAACUGAAAGCUCAACUAAGCUCUUUCUUCUGUAUCCCAAGAAGAGUUUCAACAGCACACCCCAUUAACCUUGGAAUUUGCUCAGCUGUCUAGUCUUUUGUUCGGUCGUCUGAUAUCAACUUGAAGAUGGGUAGUUAUGAAGUCCAGUUAGGAAAUGAUUGCAGGGGUUCUGGUGACAAAUUAUAGUAAAUUAAAUUUCCACCAACAUAAGAAAGCUGGAGGCAGGAAAUAUCUUUUCUAUAUCAUGGGAAGUGAUUUUCAAAUGGGCAUGAUUAUUGCCUCCCUCUAGAGAACACUUGACCAUGUCUAAAGAAAGUUUUUCUUGCUGGGUGGUGGUGGCCCAUGCCUUUAAUCCCAGCACUUGGGAGGCAGAGGCAGGCAGAUUUCUGUGAGUUCGA